CCAAAAACGGUUAAUCCUUUAAAGACCAUUUGUUAUUGUGCUACCUUUAUUUGCUGCACGCCAUCAUGGAAUUUAUUGAGUUCCCAGUUGAGAACAUUUAUCAUCUAAGAAAUUAGGAAUAUGCUCCCAUCUAAUAAAACGACUAUUAAAGUGCCAGCAGUCGCGGUCAUACUUUAGUUUAUAAUAAAGUCAAUCAGGAUAUGUGUAAGUUAGCUUAUAACCUGUAGUGAAAUACGGUUUACAUACUUCAGUACUUAAAAUACGAUUAAUACUGAUCACAAACAGGGAUUAGAUACCCCUCUAUGCAGUCCAUAAUCAACAUCCUGGGCACUACAACUACAAAGUUGAAACCCAACUAACAUGGCGGUAGAUUAAAUCUUUAGGGGAACUUACUAAGUAAAUGAUACCCACCAAGAUAAUGCACGUUAAGUGACAUUUUACAUACCGUCGUCGUCAGAUAUACUAAAAUAGGAUAUCAAACUACUUGCAAAGUAAAAGGACAGAUCAAGGUGUAGACUAUCUUAACGUUUUAGCGAGUUACAAUAUUAUUUAUUUUCGUAACCUAGUACUAUUACUACUUACCGUUGGACUUAAAAGUAAUAGUUAUAAAGUAUACAGUAUGAAUAAUUUUAAUCUGUGC
This 640-nucleotide ribosomal RNA is filed under the name Helix nicaeensis. RNAcentral's name for it is "partial small subunit ribosomal RNA". The record is from RNAcentral. Lineage: Eukaryota; Metazoa; Mollusca; Gastropoda; Stylommatophora; Helicidae.